Molecule: long non-coding RNA, 536 nt
Filed under: Ananas comosus (pineapple)
Lineage: Eukaryota; Viridiplantae; Streptophyta; Magnoliopsida; Poales; Bromeliaceae
Description: long non-coding RNA (ACOM_LNC000655)
Source: RNAcentral
UAGAAUUUUAUUUUUUUUUAAAACCUGACCCCAGGGUAUGCCAGAUCUGCCACAAAUACGGGAAAUCAACUAUUCACACGGACAGAGUUUCCCCUAUAUUUGCACGGCGUCGCGCAAGUACAAGAUGUCCAAACAGAGUAUAACCAGGAUACAACCACAAUAUAUGAAUAGAUAAUUCUCAACAUUCAUUCACCAUUUACCGGAUAUUUACCAUUCAGUGUUUAAACAUAAAAACCACAAGAAAAACUCUUUUGAAAGCUGUUUCCCAUAUGGAAACCUUUUCUUUUUAAAACGCUACUACGAGAGGUAGAAAACUAUUUUUCCUUUUCACAAAAUCUACAAGUUCUAUAGUUCAUUUAAAACCACAUGAAUUCGAAUAACAUAAACCAACUGAACCAUGAAAUAUCAAAGCUAUUAAUAACAAAAGUAAACAGGGUGGGAACUAAACCAACAAGACGGGUCGGAAGCUCUAGCGACCACUACGAACGUAUCUCACGUCUCGUCUCUACUCUCACCGCCUGCGAUACCUGAAAAAU